Molecule: long non-coding RNA, 337 nt
Organism: Mastomys coucha (southern multimammate mouse)
Lineage: Eukaryota; Metazoa; Chordata; Mammalia; Rodentia; Muridae
Exons: 2
Source: RefSeq, a predicted model, not a curated record
CCACCAGGGCUGUCUUCCUGCCAGCUGGCCAGAGAAUGAUAUAGCUCCAAAAUUGAAUUUCCUUGUCUGCUUUCUCAAACGACGCCUGAUACCAUGUGAGAUACUUUGCUCAGGCUUCAGCAAAUCACAGCACUGAGUACGGUGGAACCACCUGACACUCCUACGCACUUUCUGCAAGCUGCAGCAAACACUUGAAAAGGGAAUCAACAAGGAAAGGUAGACAGGAAUGAAGAAAUGAAAUUGGCAAUGCCUUAAGGACUUGACAUGUUAGGAUCCAGUCCUAGUCACUUCUAAAUCUCUGUGAUAAAACACCAUGGCCAAGGGCAAUUUAAAGAGA